Molecule: ribosomal RNA, 492 nt
Filed under: uncultured bacterium
Lineage: Bacteria
Description: partial 16S ribosomal RNA
Rfam family: Bacterial small subunit ribosomal RNA
Source: RNAcentral
AGUGAACGCUGGCGGUAGGCCUAACACAUGCAAGUCGAACGGCAGCACAGUAAGAGCUUGCUCUUACGGGUGGCGAGUGGCGGACGGGUGAGGAAUACAUCGGAAUCUACUUUUUCGUGGGGGAUAACGUAGGGAAACUUACGCUAAUACCGCAUACGACCUACGGGUGAAAGCAGGGGAUCUUCGGACCUUGCGCGAUUGAAUGAGCCGAUGUCGGAUUAGCUAGUUGGCGGGGUAAAGGCCCACCAAGGCGACGAUCCGUAGCUGGUCUGAGAGGAUGAUCCGCCACCCUGGAACUGAGACACGGUCCAGACUCCUACGGGAGGCAGCAGUUGGGAAUAUUGGGCAAUGGGCGCAAGCCUGAUCCAGCCAUACCGCGUGGGUGAAGAAGGCCUUCGGGUUGUAAAGCCCUUUUGUUGGGAAAGAAAAGCAGCAGGUUAAUACCCCGCUGUUCUGACGGUACCCAAAGAAUAAGCACCGGCUAACUUCGUG